UACGUAGGUGGCAAGCGUUGUCCGGAAUUAUUGGGCGUAAAGCGCGCGCAGGCGGUCCUUUAAGUCUGAUGUGAAAGCCCACGGCUCAACCGUGGAGGGUCAUUGGAAACUGGGGGACUUGAGUACAGAAGAGGAGAGUGGAAUUCCUGGUGUAGCGGUGAAAUGCGCAGAUAUCAGGAAGAACACCUAUGGCGAAGGCAGCUCUCUGGGACGGUACUGACGCUGAGACGCGAAAGCGUGGGGAGCGAACAGG
RNAcentral lists this ribosomal RNA (253 nucleotides) under uncultured bacterium. RNAcentral describes it as "partial 16S ribosomal RNA". It matches the Rfam family "Bacterial small subunit ribosomal RNA", at positions 524 to 776 of the family's 1533-position model. The record is from RNAcentral.